This 377-nucleotide ribosomal RNA is filed under the name uncultured bacterium. Its description in RNAcentral is "bacterial SSU rRNA". It matches the Rfam family "Bacterial small subunit ribosomal RNA", at positions 28 to 403 of the family's 1533-position model. The record is from RNAcentral.
GAUGAACGCUAGCGGCAGGCCUAAUACAUGCAAGUCGAGGGGUAACAGGAGAGCUUGCUCUCGCUGACGACCGGCGCACGGGUGCGUAACGCGUAUGCAACCUACCUUUUACAGGGGGAUAGCCCAGAGAAAUUUGGAUUAAUACCCCAUGGUACUAUAAAAUCGCCUGGUUUAAUAGUUAAAGAUUUAUUGGUAAAAGAUGGGCAUGCGUGACAUUAGCUAGAUGGCGAGGUAACGGCUCACCAUGGCGACGAUGUCUAGGGGUUCUGAGAGGAUGAUCCCCCACACUGGUACUGAGACACGGACCAGACUCCUACGGGGGGCAGCAGUAGGGAAUAUUGGGCAAUGGACGAAGUCUGACCCAGCCAUGCCGCGUG